ACCAUACAAGUACUUUUCAUGUAUAAACCUAUCAUAAUAAUUUUAAAAAUUGAUGCAAUGAUGAAUAUGAGAAAGAAUGAUUUGAACUUGAAACUAAUACUCUGUCUGUGGUCGGUUGUUUUUUUUCUCUCUCUCUUUCUCUCGGUAUGAUAUAUGAAUGAAGUAUAAAAAACUAACGAUUCAAUAAUAAUAUCAUUAUCAAUUAACAAAAUGGAACCACAAAUUGGACAUCAAUCAAUCGAACACCGCCUACAAUAAAUUGUACAAUAAUGAGAAAUGCAACACCGAAUCCAUUACGUUCGUUUGUGGGAUUUAACCGGACAACAACAACAACAACAACAACACCUUCAUUAUCACGUGAUGAAUCGCAAACAUUGUUAAAUUUUUCAUUGGAAGAUGCAUUCGAUUAUAUUGAAUCUUAUAUAGUUGAUUCCGGAAUCGAUUUUAAUGUUUUUCAAUUUAGUCAACGUCCAGUAUUUGUGACAUUUGUACGAUUAGCUAAAUCAAAUUUGAAAAGAAUUAUCGAUCCGAUGUGGAAACAAACUUUAAAAUUAAUGAUUACAUAUUGAUUCGAAGGAAACAUUUAAAAAAUCAACCUUGGAUUGGUCCAUUUAAAAUCGUGGAUAUAUAAGCUAUUUGAAAUUAUUGGUCAUAAUCAGAAAAAGAUUAUCGUGCAUGCUAAUCAAAUGAAAUCGUAUAUCGGUGAUUGUUCUGAUUCUGAUCUGUACCAGCUCGUGGAAGACCAAGAGAGUCCAUCUGAAAAGGGGGUGUAAUGAUAUUUAUGAAUGUACUCUCUUGCUCAUAGUUUAAAAAUAUGUUCUUUGAGCUCACUCCAAUUUUUAUAUAUUAUGAUCAUUGAAUGAUUUGCCUUGAUUGAAGUAUAUUCAUAUUUUCUGUCUUUGUGUUUAAUUGAAAUAAAAAUUAUUCCGUUUAUGAAAUAAACUUGCUUUAUUUUCAUGUCGUGCUAAUUAAUCUCUCGGUACUCUAUCCAACUUUAUUAUAGAACAUAAAAGGUCAAUUGCAAAAAUUUAUUUCUCAUUGGACUCAUUUUCAAAAUUAAAAAUCUUGGUCGACCAAGACAAUUUUAGCCUCUGUGAUGAUUUAUUGAAUACAAGGAAUCAUUUCAUCAUCAAGAUAUCAGAUCACAAACAAAGGACAUGCCAUGUUUGUAUAAAAAAACCAGAGUAUCAAUGGGUCUUGUACAACAAAGGUUUCUGUUUAAAUGAUUUUAAAUCAUAUUAUAGUCAAUUAUAAAAUAAAGACACUGCAAAUUGAUGUAUUUUUAAUUUAUAAAAUGAUUUCUAUGAGAAAAACCAAAUAUAUCAAUUGUAUUUGAUGAAAUAACAAUAAUAUCCAAUACAAUAUGCAAUUUUUGUUGUCUGUGUGCCCAUGAUCCUAUAUAUAAGAUGAAAGUUCAAAGUUCAAUUUCUCGAAAUAUAAAAAUUUUAAAAAUGAAAUGUCAUAUUUGUUUUUAUCUCAUGACUUAUUUUCCUGUUUGCAAAUGUGUAUCUGAUGUUUCACAAAUUUUUACCAGUCACGCCAACACUUCAUCAAUAUUUUUUGCCGCCAGUGAAUCAAUAGCUUCUCGGUGUUUUUCGAAUAUUUCACCAAUUUCUUUUUUUCGCCUAUGAUAAAAAUUUUUUAAGGCCUCGCGAUUUUCUCGGCCCUGUGUGCUGGUAUGUAUUAUUAUACAAUUAAUACAAUUAAAUUUAGAAGAAAAUUUAGAUAUAAAUGUGUAUGUAAAUAAUUGGGGGGCAAAUUUAUAAGUGAUUGUCCACUAUCCUCCCCAACAAAUAGGUUUUAUAAGCGAGGGGGAGGCAAAUUUAUAAGUGAUUAUGCGCAAACCACUAUCCACCCCCAACACUGACUAUUUUUUAAAUUACUUUAAGCGCAAGUGUAAAUGUGUAUAUGAAUAAUUGGGGGGCAAAUUUAUAAGUGAUUGUCCACUAUCCUCCCCAACAAAUAGAUUUUAUAAGCAAGGGGGAGGCAAAUUUAUAAGUGAUUAUGCGCAAACCACUAUCCACCCCCAACACUGACUAUUUUUUAUAUUAACCCAGGCGGCCGCGAUGGGAUUUGAACCGACGUCGAAUGUGUAUAUGCGUGUAUAUGUGUUAAUGUGUGUAAAUGGGGGAGGCAAAUUUAUAAAUGAUGGGGUAAUUUUCCCCCAGACCAUUAUCCUCCCCCAUAAUAUAGAACGUAAUUAUGGUCGUAUAUAACAAUCAUAUUUUACGACAUUACAGAAAUACUUCGCUUAACGCUGCCCCGAUUAGCGCUGUUUCGAUAUAACGCUGUGCAAUUACAUUACAUUGCAAUACAUUGUUACAUUGUAUAUGAAGAGUAAAAAUGCAUUAUGUAAAUUAUGCAAAAAUAACCCCGCUUUGCGCUGUUGUUUCGCUUUACGCUCAAUAUUUUUGGAACGUAACCCCGCGUUAAGCGUUGUUUUACUGUAUAUUUGUAUUAUAUCACUGUAUAUAUGUAGCAUUACUGGCUGCGCAUGCUCCUGCCUAUUUCUACUUUCCCCUAUUUCGACCGAGAAUGUCGGUGAGAGAGAACGAGCACGUUUUUCAGCCGAAAAUUCCGAGUCAGGAUACUAAUAACCUUUUUACUUUCUUUUCUGUGUAUACACGAACACUAACACACACAACUCGACAACAAAUAAAAAUCCGAUUUUCACAAACGAUCCCACGACAUAUUUAUUAUUAAAUAUUGUUCGUUUUGCAUUCAAUUGAUUCUCACUACAACAAUGGUUCAUCAUUAUUAUCAAUUUGUAGAAACCAUAAAGGUGAUAGUCCAAUUGUAUCAGUAAAAAAGAUGAAUAGCUGUUCGCUAUUAUUAGGCAUUGAUAAUCUUUUGGUUUGAUUUCCAUUAUUACGUUAUUUUGCCUAUUUUCAAUCAUACAACAUUCUCUUAUUGUAACAUUGAAGAAAUCUUUUCCAAACGUUUUGCGGUUCUGUCUCUGUGCAUUUUUAGUUUAUGGAGGAUUUUGUUUUUGUGGUUGGGUCGUUUUUGGUCCUCAUCUCAAAUUUCGUACGCUAAGCUAACAUUGGAAUGUUUGUUUUCACUUAUGAACGGUGAUGAUAUGUUUGCUACAUUUUUUUCCAUUGAUGUGAAAAAUCAUUAAAUUGAAAUUCGAUUGAUGAUUAUGUUCGAGAUCAAUUCGGCGGUUCCAUUGUUCAUCAGCAUCCAAUUCAAGAAUAGUUUGACCAUGUUCAACACAUGAUAUCAGAUUAGGCUUAGGACAUGGUCUGAACUAUUUCCUAUUGAAUUUGAUGCUGAUUGAAUCUUUGGAAUCAAUGAAGCGAUCGAAAACAUAAUUAUAAGUCGAAGAUUCAUGGGAUGGAACACAUACUUGAAAAUGAUCAUGGAUCGCCGGCGAACAAUUGGGAAAUUGAAUCUCGAACCACGAAUAGAAUUUGGACAUUGUCUUGGAACAUGGACCGCGAACAUUGGAUCUAUUUCAAACGGGACAAUUAACGUUGUAUGGCGCAAUUGGGAUGUGAAAUAUAGAUGUAUUUUAUUAUUUCUAAUAUUUUAAUAAAUUAAUAUAUCAAUAAAAUCAAUUAAAUUUCAA
This is a non-coding RNA of Dermatophagoides farinae (American house dust mite), 3571 nucleotides long. The record is from RefSeq and is a predicted model, not a curated record. Lineage: Eukaryota; Metazoa; Arthropoda; Arachnida; Sarcoptiformes; Pyroglyphidae.